UCUAGCACCAUGUCCAGUUGGCGCUCUGCGCGGACCGAAUCCAAAGGAUCAGGGCCUGCGAGGCAAGAAGCAGCCGCGAGGGGGCAGCAGAGACCGUGGCUACCUGGGGGCGCAGGCGUGAAGCCCGGCUAGCCUCCGAUCUCGCCCCACACGUCGCCCAGCACCUUAGGCUGGGGUAGGAGGGAGAUGAGCCCAGGCUGGUAUGAAACUCCUGUCUUCAAGCAAUCUGUCUGCCUCAGCCUCCCAAAGUGCUGGGAUUACAGGUGCAAGCCAUUGUGCCCAGCCCCCAUGACUCUUAGAAUAAAUGACUCUGGC
RNAcentral lists this long non-coding RNA (315 nucleotides) under Homo sapiens (human). RNAcentral's name for it is "HSALNT0054456". The record is from RNAcentral. Lineage: Eukaryota; Metazoa; Chordata; Mammalia; Primates; Hominidae.